AGGCCAGACUCCUACGGGAGGCAGCAGUGGGGAAUAUUGCACAAUGGGGGAAACCCUGAUGCAGCGACGCCGCGUGAGUGAAGAAGUAUUUCGGUAUGUAAAGCUCUAUCAGCAGGGAAGAAAAUGACGGUACCUGACCAAGAAGCCCCGGCUAACUACGUGCCAGCAGCCGCGGUAAUACGUAGGGGGCAAGCGUUAUCCGGAUUUACUGGGUGUAAAGGGGGCGCAGACGGCAAUGCAAGCCAGGAGUGAAAGCCCGGGGCCCAACCCCGGGACUGCUCUUGGAACUGCAUGGCUGGAGUACAGGAGGGGCAGGCGGAAUUCCUAGUGUAGCGGUGAAAUGCGUAGAUAUUAGGAGGAACACCGGUGGCGAAGGCGGCCUGCUGGACUGUGACUGACGUUGAGGCCCGAAGGCGUGGGGAGCAAACAGGAUUAGAUACCCCAGUAC
Molecule: ribosomal RNA, 448 nt
Filed under: uncultured bacterium
Lineage: Bacteria
Description: bacterial SSU rRNA
Rfam family: Bacterial small subunit ribosomal RNA
Source: RNAcentral